GACAGUCGUACGCUUCUUUUUCCACCGGAGCUUGCUCCACCGGAAAAAGAAGAGUGGCGAACGGGUGAGUAACACGUGGGUAACCUGCCCAUCAGAAGGGGAUAACACUUGGAAACAGGUGCUAAUACCGUAUAACAAUCGAAACCGCAUGGUUUUGAUUUGAAAGGCGCUUUCGGGUGUCGCUGAUGGAUGGACCCGCGGUGCAUUAGCUAGUUGGUGAGGUAACGGCUCACCAAGGCCACGAUGCAUAGCCGACCUGAGAGGGUGAUCGGCCACAUUGGGACUGAGACACGGCCCAAACUCCUACGGGAGGCAGCAGUAGGGAAUCUUCGGCAAUGGACGAAAGUCUGACCGAGCAACGCCGCGUGAGUGAAGAAGGUUUUCGGAUCGUAAAACUCUGUUGUUAGAGAAGAACAAGGAUGAGAGUAACUGUUCAUCCCUUGACGGUAUCUAACCAGAAAGCCACGGCUAACUACGUGCCAGCAGCCGCGGUAAUACGUAGGUGGCAAGCGUUGUCCGGAUUUAUUGGGCGUAAAGCGAGCGCAGGCGGUUUCUUAAGUCUGAUGUGAAAGCCCCCGGCUCAACCGGGGAGGGUCAUUGGAAACUGGGAGACUUGAGUGCAGAAGAGGAGAGUGGAAUUCCAUGUGUAGCGGUGAAAUGCGUAGAUAUAUGGAGGAACACCAGUGGCGAAGGCGGCUCUCUGGUCUGUAACUGACGCUGAGGCUCGAAAGCGUGGGGAGCAAACAGGAUUAGAUACCCUGGUAGUCCACGCCGUAAACGAUGAGUGCUAAGUGUUGGAGGGUUUCCGCCCUUCAGUGCUGCAGCUAACGCAUUAAGCACUCCGCCUGGGGAGUACGACCGCAAGGUUGAAACUCAAAGGAAUUGACGGGGCCCGCACAAGCGGUGGAGCAUGUGGUUUAAUUCG
Molecule: ribosomal RNA, 925 nt
Filed under: Enterococcus durans
Lineage: Bacteria; Bacillati; Bacillota; Bacilli; Lactobacillales; Enterococcaceae
Description: bacterial SSU rRNA
Rfam family: Bacterial small subunit ribosomal RNA
Source: RNAcentral